AACGAACGCUGGCGGCGUGCCUAACACAUGCAAGUCGAGCGGUCCAUGGGUUUCGGCCCAUGGGUAGCGGCAGACGGGUGAGUAACACGUGGGUAACCUGUCCCUAGGUGGGGGAUAACCACUCGAAAGGGUGGCUAAUACCGCAUAAGACCCCAGGUUUUCGGAUCGGAGGUCAAAGGCGCAAGUCGCCGAGGGAGGGGCCCGCGGCCGAUUAGCUAGUUGGUAGGGUAAUGGCCUACCAAGGCAGUGAUCGGUAGCUGGUCUGAGAGGAUGAUCAGCCACACUGGUACUGAGACACGGACCAGACUCCUACGGGAGGCAG
This 322-nucleotide ribosomal RNA is filed under the name uncultured Pseudomonadota bacterium. RNAcentral describes it as "bacterial SSU rRNA". It matches the Rfam family "Bacterial small subunit ribosomal RNA", at positions 29 to 351 of the family's 1533-position model. Lineage: Bacteria; Pseudomonadati; Pseudomonadota. The record is from RNAcentral.